RNAcentral lists this ribosomal RNA (433 nucleotides) under uncultured bacterium. RNAcentral's name for it is "partial 16S ribosomal RNA". It matches the Rfam family "Bacterial small subunit ribosomal RNA", at positions 29 to 507 of the family's 1533-position model. The record is from RNAcentral.
AACGAACGCUGGCGGCAUGCCUAACACAUGCAAGUCGAACGAGACCUUCGGGUCUAGUGGCGCACGGGUGCGUAACGCGUGGGAACCUGCCCUUAGGUUCGGAAUAACUCCCCGAAAGGGGUGCUAAUACCGGAUAAUGUCUUCGGACCAAAGAUUUAUCGCCUUUGGAUGGGCCCGCGUUGGAUUAGCUAGUUGGUAGGGUAAAAGCCUACCAAGGCGACGUUCCAUAGCUGGUCUGAGAGGAUGAUCAGCCACACUGGGACUGAGACACGGCCCAGACCCGUACGGGAGGCAGCAGUGGGGAAUAUUGGACAAGGGGCGAAAGCCUGAUCCAGCAAUGCCGCGUGAGUGAUGAAGGCCUUAGGGUUGUAAAGCUCUUUUACACGGGAUGAUAAUGACAGUACCGGGAGAAUAAGCUCCGGCUAACUCCGUG